UGUGCCAGCAGCCGCGGUAAUACAGAGGGUGCAAGCGUUAAUCGGAUUUACUGGGCGUAAAGCGUGCGUAGGCGGCUAUUUAAGUCGGAUGUGAAGCCCUGGGCUCAACCUGGGAACUGCAUUCGAUGCUGGGUAGCUAGAGAUCGGUAGAGGGCGGCGGAAUUCCGGGUGUAGCGGUGAAAUGCGUAGAUAUCCGGAGGAACACCGAUGGCGAAGGCAACCGCCUGGGCCUGAUCUGACGC
This 242-nucleotide ribosomal RNA is filed under the name uncultured Lysobacterales bacterium. RNAcentral describes it as "uncultured Xanthomonadales bacterium partial 16S ribosomal RNA". It matches the Rfam family "Bacterial small subunit ribosomal RNA", at positions 504 to 746 of the family's 1533-position model. The record is from RNAcentral. Lineage: Bacteria; Pseudomonadati; Pseudomonadota; Gammaproteobacteria; Lysobacterales.